GUAAUCCAUGUGUAGGGUCUCUUGCCGUCCUCCGGACGUUCUGGUGACCUUUUUUGUUAGCUGGGACUUCACUUAAAGUCCUUUGAACAUCAUUUUAUUUGACUUUAUGGCUAUAUUUAUUUUAUUUUGAACAAUUGUAAAGGUUGUGUGUGUGUGUGUGUGUGUGUGUGUGUGUGUGUGUGUGUGUGUGUCAGCUGUGGGGUUUUCCCGAUGGCAAUUCUUCCUAAAACAACCAAAUAAACUCAUUCAGUAGAAUUAUAAUUUGAUGUCUAAAAUGUUGUCUUGCAAUACAAGCCCUAACAAUCUUUUUAAAGGCGAGGGAGACCUAAUAUUUUAAUUUGUACUUUUGUUAAUGAAGCACGACUUUUGCUACUCGAUUACACACUUGCGCUUUUCAUCCUGAUCAAACUGGUUAAACUGGUUGCACGACUGACAGACUAGUUGUGCCAGCUACUUGUUUAAGGUUGAAACAAUUGUGUCACCAGUGUGUGUAGUGUACAAGCAAACGCUAAAACAUACAGCUCGAUCUCUUUACAGACCAUGUAGUCUUACACUAAAAAUAACUUCAGUGUUAUAUGUAACAUCACAAGAGGGAAGACGCCGAUUACACGGUGAGGUGUUAAUUGACGGUUUGAGAAAAGAAGAAAUUAAUUGGGCACUGCCUCUAAAAUGAGUCUCAGUGAGGGGAGAGAGAAGGAAGGCACUGCCUCCAAGACAAGUUUAUGCAAGCACAAAGAGACUGGUGCUGAUCAAUACCAGAUGCAAAGAGCAGCAUCUCCAGAACCUAGCUGUGUAUCUUUGAAGAGUGAUGAAUCCAUGAGAUAUUUGAAACCUGCAUUCACUGAUGGACCAGAGACCCCUGAACCAAG
Xyrauchen texanus (razorback sucker) is the source of this 869-nucleotide long non-coding RNA. RefSeq lists it as uncharacterized. NCBI's taxonomy places the organism in Eukaryota, Metazoa, Chordata, Actinopteri, Cypriniformes, Catostomidae. The record is from RefSeq and is a predicted model, not a curated record. The transcript is spliced from 2 exons.